AAUAUCGUUAACAUGGUUAAAGAUUGCUUACUAGAAUUAUAGUUCAGUAUGUAAUAAACAUAAUAUUACUGUGGUUAAAUGAGUAAUAAAUGUAUUAGUACCAGAAUUAGAUAUAUAACAACAAUCAUAUUUUGUGUUGGGGUUAGAUGUGUAAUAAACAUUAGUGUUGGGGUUAGAUGUGUAGUAAAUGUUUUAUUAUCAGGGUUAGAUGUGUAAUAAACAUUAGUGUUGGGGUUAGAUGUGUAAUAAUGUUUUAUUAUCAGGGUUAGAUGUGUAUAAAUGUUUUAUUAUCAGGGUUAGAUGUGUAAUAAAUGUUUUAUUAUCAGGGUUAGAUGUGUAUAAUGUAUUAUCAGGGUUAGAUGUGUAAUAAACAUUAGUGUUGGGGUUAGAUGUGUAGUAAAUGUUUUAUUAUCAGGGUUAGAUGUGUAAUAAAUGUUUUAUUAUCAGGGUUAGAUGUAUGUGUAAUGUUUUAUUAUCAGGGUUAGAUGUGUAAUAAAUGUUUUAUUAUCAGGGUUAGAUGUGUAAUAACAUUAGUGUUGGGGUUAGAUGUGUAAUAAAUGUUUUAUUAUCAGGGUUAGAUGUGUAAUAAAUGUUUUAUUAUCAGGGUUAGAUGUGUAGAAAUGUUUUAUU
This is a long non-coding RNA of Ictalurus punctatus (channel catfish), 630 nucleotides long. NCBI's taxonomy places the organism in Eukaryota, Metazoa, Chordata, Actinopteri, Siluriformes, Ictaluridae. The record is from Ensembl.